UAGGGAGUCUGGGAUAGACAGGACC
Molecule: non-coding RNA, 25 nt
Filed under: Rattus norvegicus (Norway rat)
Lineage: Eukaryota; Metazoa; Chordata; Mammalia; Rodentia; Muridae
Source: RNAcentral